RNAcentral lists this ribosomal RNA (407 nucleotides) under uncultured bacterium. Its description in RNAcentral is "bacterial SSU rRNA". It matches the Rfam family "Bacterial small subunit ribosomal RNA", at positions 434 to 837 of the family's 1533-position model. The record is from RNAcentral.
AGUAGAGAACGAAAAGGAGCUAUCGAAUAAAUAGCUCUGCUGACGGUACUCUAAGAAUAAGCACCGGCUAACUACGUGCCAGCAGCCGCGGUAAUACGUAGGGUGCGAGCGUUAAUCGGAAUUACUGGGCGUAAAGGGUGUGCAGGCGGCUGAGUAAGACAGAUGUGAAAUCCCCGGGCUUAACCUGGGAACCGCAUAUGUGACUGCUUGGCUAGAGUGCGUCAGAGGGAGGUGGAAUUCCACGUGUAGCAGUGAAAUGCGUAGAUAUGUGGAAGAACACCGAUGGCGAAGGCAGCCUCCUGGGACGCAACUGACGCUCAUACACGAAAGCGUGGGGAGCAAACAGGAUUAGAUACCCUGGUAGUCCACGCCCUAAACGAUGUCAACUAGUUGUUGGGGAUUAAAUU